RNAcentral lists this ribosomal RNA (508 nucleotides) under uncultured bacterium. RNAcentral describes it as "partial 16S ribosomal RNA". It matches the Rfam family "Bacterial small subunit ribosomal RNA", at positions 28 to 507 of the family's 1533-position model. The record is from RNAcentral.
GACGAACGCUGGCGGCGUGCCUAAUACAUGCAAGUCGAACGCUUCUUUCCUCCCGAGUGCUUGCACUCAAUUGGAAAGAGGAGUGGCGGACGGGUGAGUAACACGUGGGUAACCUACCCAUCAGAGGGGGAUAACACUUGGAAACAGGUGCUAAUACCGCAUAACAGUUUAUGCCGCAUGGCAUAAGAGUGAAAGGCGCUUUCGGGUGUCGCUGAUGGAUGGACCCGCGGUGCAUUAGCUAGUUGGUGAGGUAACGGCUCACCAAGGCCACGAUGCAUAGACGACCUGAGAGGGUGAUCGGCCACACUGGGACUGAGACGCGGCCCAGACUCCUACGGGAGGCAGCAGUAGGGAAUCUUCGGCAAUGGACGAAAGUCUGACCGAGCAACGCCGCGUGAGUGAAGAAGGUUUUCGGAUCGUAAAACUCUGUUGUUAGAGAAGAACAAGGACGUUAGUAACUGAACGUCCCCUGACGGUAUCUAACCAGAAAGCCACGGCUAACUACGUG